GACGAACGCUGGCGGCGUGCUUAACACAUGCAAGUCGAACGAAGAGCGAUGGACGCUUGCUUCUAUCAAUCUUAGUGGCGAACGGGUGAGUAACGCGUAAUCAACCUGCCCUUCAGAGGGGGACAACAGUUGGAAACGACUGCUAAUACCGCAUACGAUCUAAUCUCGGCAUCGAGGAUAGAUGAAAGGUGGCCUCUACAUGUAAGCUAUCACUGAGGGAGGGGAUUGCGUCUGAUUAGCUAGUUGGAGGGGUAACGGCCCACCAAGGCGAUGAUCAGUAGCCGGUCUGAGAGGAUGAACGGCCACAUUGGGACUGAGACACGGCCCAGACUCCUACGGGAGGCAGCAGUGGGGAAUCUUCCGCAAUGGACGAAAGUCUGACGGAGCAACGCCGCGUGGGGGAUGGAGGCCUUCGGGUUGUGAACCUCUUUCGCUCAUGGUCAAGCCGCAACAAUGGUUGUGGUGAGGGUAGUGGGUAAAGAAGCGCCGGCUAACUACGUG
Molecule: ribosomal RNA, 501 nt
Filed under: uncultured bacterium
Lineage: Bacteria
Description: partial 16S ribosomal RNA
Rfam family: Bacterial small subunit ribosomal RNA
Source: RNAcentral